CAGCCGCCACGGGAAUACGUAGGGUGCGAGCGUUAAUCGGAAUUACUGGGCGUAAAGCGUGCGCAGGCGGUUAUAUAAGACAGAUGUGAAAUCCCCGGGCUCAACCUUGGACCUGCAUUUGUGACUGUAUAGCUAGAGUACGGUAGAGGGGGAUGGAAUUCCGCGUGUAGCAGUGAAAUGCGUAGAUAUGCGGAGGAACACCGAUGGCGAAGGCAAUCCCCUGGACCUGUACUGACGCUCAUGCACGAAAGCGUGGGGAGCAAACAGGAUUAGAUACCCCAGUAGUCCCUGUCUCUUAUAC
This 301-nucleotide ribosomal RNA is filed under the name uncultured bacterium. RNAcentral's name for it is "partial 16S ribosomal RNA". It matches the Rfam family "Bacterial small subunit ribosomal RNA", at positions 509 to 807 of the family's 1533-position model. The record is from RNAcentral.